GCAGUCGAGCGAAUGGAUUGAGAGCUUGCUCUCAAGAAGUUAGCGGCGGACGGGUGAGUAACACGUGGGUAACCUGCCCAUAAGACUGGGAUAACUCCGGGAAACCGGGGCUAAUACCGGAUAACAUUUUGAACUGCAUGGUUCGAAAUUGAAAGGCGGCUUCGGCUGUCACUUAUGGAUGGACCCGCGUCGCAUUAGCUAGUUGGUGAGGUAACGGCUCACCAAGGCAACGAUGCGUAGCCGACCUGAGAGGGUGAUCGGCCACACUGGGACUGAGACACGGCCCAGACUCCUACGGGAGGCAGCAGUAGGGAAUCUUCCGCAAUGGACGAAAGUCUGACGGAGCAACGCCGCGUGAGUGAUGAAGGCUUUCGGGUCGUAAAACUCUGUUGUUAGGGAAGAACAAGUGCUAGUUGAAUAAGCUGGCACCUUGACGGUACCUAACCAGAAAGCCACGGCUAACUACGUGCCAGCAGCCGCGGUAAUACGUAGGUGGCAAGCGUUAUCCGGAAUUAUUGGGCGUAAAGCGCGCGCAGGUGGUUUCUUAAGUCUGAUGUGAAAGCCCACGGCUCAACCGUGGAGGGUCAUUGGAAACUGGGAGACUUGAGUGCAGAAGAGGAAAGUGGAAUUCCAUGUGUAGCGGUGAAAUGCGUAGAGAUAUGGAGGAACACCAGUGGCGAAGGCGACUUUCUGGUCUGUAACUGACACUGAGGCGCGAAAGCGUGGGGA
Molecule: ribosomal RNA, 729 nt
Filed under: Bacillus thuringiensis
Lineage: Bacteria; Bacillati; Bacillota; Bacilli; Caryophanales; Bacillaceae
Description: bacterial SSU rRNA
Rfam family: Bacterial small subunit ribosomal RNA
Source: RNAcentral